GGACAGACCUCUGGAGAGACUUGUGGUAAACAAGCGCCGAAGGAGCAACCCUUAUUGUAUAGGGCAAUCUCUCAGGCAAAAGGACAGAGAAAAGGGA
This 97-nucleotide non-coding RNA is filed under the name Thermincola carboxydiphila JR. Its description in RNAcentral is "Thermincola potens JR Glycine riboswitch aptamer". It matches the Rfam family "Glycine riboswitch aptamer". From Rfam's summary of the family: This family represents the bacterial glycine riboswitch. Glycine riboswitches usually consist of two metabolite-binding aptamers domains with similar structures in tandem. The aptamers cooperatively bind glycine to regulate the expression of downstream genes. The record is from Rfam by way of RNAcentral. RNAcentral also lists the same sequence under 1 other name. Lineage: Bacteria; Bacillati; Bacillota; Clostridia; Eubacteriales; Thermincolaceae.